RNAcentral lists this ribosomal RNA (442 nucleotides) under uncultured bacterium. RNAcentral describes it as "bacterial SSU rRNA". It matches the Rfam family "Bacterial small subunit ribosomal RNA", at positions 339 to 796 of the family's 1533-position model. The record is from RNAcentral.
CUACGGGAGGCAGCAGUAGGGAAUAUUGCGCAAUGGGGGAAACCCUGACGCAGCGACGCCGCGUGAGUGAUGAAGGCCUUCGGGUCGUAAAGCUCUGUUGCAAGGGAAUAAUAAAUGAAUGUACCUUGUGAGGAAGGAUCGGCUAACUUCGUGCCAGCAGCCGCGGUAAGACGAGGGAUCCUAGCGUUGUUCGGAAUCAUUGGGCGUAAAGCGGGUGUAGGUGGCUUGGUAAGUCAGGUGUGAAAGCCCAGGGCUUAACCCUGGAAGUGCAUUUGAAACUGCCGAGCUUGAGUGUGGGAGAGGAUAGUGGAAUUCCUGGUGUAGUGGUGAAAUACGUAGAUAUCAGGAGGAACAUCGGUGGCGAAGGCGGCUAUCUGGCCCAACACUGACACUCAGACCCGAAAGCGUGGGGAUCAAACAGGAUUAGAUACCCGUGUAGUCC